GUUCGGCGCAGCUCAGUGACGGGGCGCGAGCUCGCGAGCGCGGAGGAGGCCGGGGGCCUGAGCCGGAGCCGGAGCGCGCGCCGCUGCCCAGCCCCGCCGCGCCGGCCCCGCAGAUGGUGACUCCGCGGCCCGCGCCCGCCCGGAGCCCCGCGCUCCUCCUCCUCCUGCUGCUGGCCACUGCGCGUGGGCAGGAACAGGACCAGACCACCGACUGGAGGGCCACCCUCAAGACCAUCCGCAACGGCAUCCACAAGAUAGACACGUACCUCAACGCCGCGCUGGACCUGCUGGGCGGGGAGGACGGGCUCUGCCAGUACAAGUGCAGCGACGGAUCGAAGCCUGUUCCACGCUAUGGAUAUAAACCAUCUCCACCAAAUGGCUGUGGCUCGCCACUGUUUGGCGUUCAUCUGAACAUAGGUAUCCCUUCCCUGACCAAGUGCUGCAACCAGCACGACAGAUGCUACGAGACCUGCGGGAAAAGCAAGAACGACUGUGACGAGGAGUUCCAGUACUGCCUCUCCAAGAUCUGCAGAGACGUGCAGAAGACGCUCGGACUAUCUCAGAACGUCCAGGACGGCCUCAUGCUGCAGCUCUGACUCUGACACCCAGGAAGCCCUGACCAGGAGGAGCUCGCCUCAGAUGAGCCAGGGGUCACUGCUUACACCCACCAGGGUGCUUAUGGCUACAGUCGCCACCUGAGGCACAGCCGGAUGGAUUUCUUGUCUUCUUAGCAUGUGAGACAACGGUGGAGCUCCUCUUUGACAGCGUCAUCCAUUUAGGCUGCAAGCCAUACCUGGACAGCCAGCGGGCUGCAUGCUGGUGUCGUUAUGAAGAAAAAACAGAUCUAUAAAGACCCUGACUGCUGGAGAGCAGGCGAGAAUGGAGGACCAUCCUUGCCAAAGAUCCGAUGCUUUAACAGCCUAAUGUUGCCUUAGUUUUGUGUUGACGGGUCAUUUUGAGACCUUUCUAUACUGUGUCUUUUUUUAGAACCUCAAAGUGAAAAUGGUGGGGGGCCAGGCAGAAACAGAGAGCAUGCUUGGGAUGGGGAGCGAGCAGGACAUCCAAGAGCAUGCCUUCCUGAGACUCGCUGUCGUGGUGGCUCCCCCAAACUGGGAAGAAAAGCUUAAGCCCGUGUGACUUGGUGUUCAUAGUUGUACUUAACAAUAAAAAUGAAAGCAAAUGUAAAAUUCAUUGUAAGGACUUUUCAGCAUUAUUUUAUUUUGAAAUACAGGCCAAUCUUCCCUUAGAACUAUUAUUUAUUUUGAAAUUUCAGAUGUACAUUUAUACCUGGAAAAACUAUUAAUUCUCCAUUUUUAUUAUACAUAACGUGUUGUUUCUCUGAAGCCCACUAAGAUAGGUAUAAAUAUGUUACUCACAACUACAAGGUUUCCAAGUGUGCAUCUCUUGUACAGUUGGAAUCACGGUUGAUACUUCUCUGGAGAGACGCCCCAGGACAUCUGAGUGUUGGGAUGUGCACAGAAUUCAGAAGCCCAGCUUCCUCAAACCGCUUAGAGCAAAUGUCCUUCCUCUCCUGCUGUGAGCUCUAGGAAUGACGGGUUUAACGGGCCAAGCCGAGCUCUGAAUCUGUGCGCUAUCUGCUGCUGAGGUUGUGGUUACUCCCUCAUCCCCGUUUUCCAUCUUCUAUCCUGGAGUAGUGUUAAAAGUCUGACAUUUUCUAAUGGAGGUCUUAAUAAACGCUAUUUACUUCUUAGUAAUCUC
Molecule: RNA transcript, 1719 nt
Organism: Mus musculus (house mouse)
Lineage: Eukaryota; Metazoa; Chordata; Mammalia; Rodentia; Muridae
Gene: Pla2g12a
Gene name: phospholipase A2, group XIIA
Exons: 5
Source: RefSeq, marked validated